UUUGAAUGACUUGAAUACUAUGUCUGGUUUUAAAUGGUUUUGCUUGUUGCACAGAUAAUUUGCAUGAUCACAUAUAUAUUAAAAUAGAAUUUGUUAAAAAAAUAUAUGAUUAUGAAUUUAUGAUAGAGAUGAACAUGUGUAUACAAACAAAUAGAGAAAAUGAGCAAGUACCUCAAACAAAAUAUGCUGAGCAGCCUCGCAAACUAAGCUUUGGAAGGAAAGGCGCAGUCAUUCUAAGCUUGCAUAUCACAUCAUAUAAAAUUAUGUCCAGCAAACGAUGUUUUCUAGGCUACGCAUCUCUUCGAAGUAAAUGUAAAUUCGCUGUUCUAUGUUGUGGUGCGCAAGAGAAUGUCUGUCUGAUUUGUUGAAUCUUCUUAGAUGUAAUAGUAGUUUGCACACAUCCAUGGUCCAUGUGGCAUCCGAUAUCUUAAAAUAGACAAUAUAUUAUAUAUUAAAAUAAAAAUCAAGUAUUAUGGUUAAGUCAUAUGAAUUUUAAUAUUUGGUAUUAUAAUUUUACUACACAAGUGUCCUUAAGUAAAUAGAAAUAACAUGUUAAGCUGCACAGUGACAAUAAUAACAUUUUAUUUCCAGUAGCUAUAUGUCAACUGUUGUUUACCAUACAAUAUAUUAUAACCAAGAAUGUUAAAUGUAAUAAAAAAAUCAUCAGAUACGUAUUUAUGUGUUUUACAGCCGUAUUGCUGAAGUGGUUAUAGUGGUUAAAUUCUCCACACAGUUCUAUUAUUCAAUAAAUCAACAAUAAUAUACUUUACCUCACCCAACAUAAACAUCUAUUAUUGUGUAUUCAAACAAGUUAUAUAUACGGCUAACAACACAUCAAAAUCAAUAUUAUACAUACUAAAAAUAGUUAUCAAACACAUCCAACGAUUAUUUCUAGUUUUAUUUUAAAUGAUAAUUGAUUUUGUUACCUAAAACGAUGGAUUGACAAUUUGCUUUUACAACGGCAGUAACGGAAUAUCCGAAUUACGUUGAAACCGGAAGUCACCAGUCUACAACGGCAUUUUGGUCUAUUGGAAAGUGGAGAAUAGGCUAUGCAGUUUCUAAGGAUAUGAUGAAUUGAUCGAAAAUAGGUGCCUUGAAAUGCUUGCUGUGUCACCAACAGAACAAAUGGAUUACCAUUGCAUUUUGACAAUUUUAUUAUGGGAAGCUGUUCUGCGAAGGCAAGAGCUGGGCAUCAUACAAGCCAUUCUAUCAAUCAAAACUGACAGUUUUGGUUUACAGAAAUCAACAAAGGGGGAUUCAUGAACUAUCAAAUUUCCAAGCUAUACACACAGUUAUUAUCUGUGGUGAUCUUUAUUGGUUCUGUUUGUUUACUUGGAUGGAACAUGUGUGAACUUUUAUAGAACUUUGAAAAGUCUAUAUAUGUCUAUCUAUAAACAAAAAUCAGCUAUUCUAUAAUAAGAUCAGAUGUGCAAACAAUGUCAAAGGGUUGUUAAAUUAACAAUUUGAAGGCAAUUAUGCUGAAAAAAUAUGAAAGUUCCCAUGCAAAUUUUGUCUGUAUAUCACCAAGUGUCUGCCGAUAAUUGUCAAACAACUAGUAAUACAAAACUUACCACAAGUAUGUAAAAGCACUAAGUACCUGUGAUAAUUUUUAGUAAGAUAGUGUAAUUCUAAACAGUAGCAAAUAGCUUGUUUAGUAAAUGCAUAAUGCAAUUAAUAUGAUUUCCGUUCUAUUGUGUAAUUAAUAAAUUGGUUGUUACUUGUUAAUCCAUGAUAAAUGUUUUAUGGCUAGUACAAAACCAGCAAUGUUAAUUUUGUAAAAGGUAAUACAAUAACACCACUUUGUAAUUUCAUAUACGUAAAUAUUCUUGAAAUGUAGGUUGAUGACAGUGUUUUAGUUUUACUUAUUUUGUAACUAUUUUUUUAUGUGCAAAUAAAUGAUGUGAAGUGUUUUGUAUCUCCACACAAUACCACAUACCUUUUUA
Long non-coding RNA from Dreissena polymorpha, 1943 nucleotides. RefSeq lists it as uncharacterized. The record is from RefSeq and is a predicted model, not a curated record. NCBI's taxonomy places the organism in Eukaryota, Metazoa, Mollusca, Bivalvia, Myida, Dreissenidae. The transcript has 3 exons.